CCGGGGGGCGGCCGCCGCGCUCCCCACCCGCUGCCGGGCCCGCUCCUUUUGUCUGCCGCCGGCCUCGGCUCCGCUGCCGCUUGGAACCCGGCCACUUUCUGGGUUGUUUCCCCCCUCCCCCCCCGCUCCGUGUUGCCUUUUCCGCGUUAAGGGCAUGGCGUCACACCUGGCAGAAGACUUUGCUGACCAGUGGUACAGACAGACCACUUUCAUUUCACUAAUGGUGGAAGCACUGGUGUUUUAGGAAAUGUGAAGACUUUUUUCUUUCAAAGAUGCCUGCUCAGAUGUUAUGUUCUCAACAGCCAUUCUCAGUUUCCCAGACAUUCCUGCCAUGAAAGCUGAAUGAGCAAGAUCCCCUGCUAUUUGCAAGAUGUGGGCGUGCCCUCUGCAAAAUCCAGGUCGUUGUCCUUCCAAACCCUUUCCAGAGAUGAACUCCACUCACCAUCUGGCCCUUCAUCCUGUCUGGAAGCCCAACUCAUUUGCAGGAUGCUGUGCUGUUAACUUGGAAAGCAGGUUGGGAAUGGCAGGUACCAAGCAGCAUUUUGAGCUCGCAUAAACAGGUUUUUUACUGCUGGUAGUCUAGCACGAGUCCUGAAGCAGAUCAUUCGUGGCCUGGCCUGUUGCAGAGGGGAGGUGCCUGGUCCAAAAGCAAGCUCGAGAGCAGCGAGAUCUCUCAAGGGCAUAGUUUGCUGGGGACACUGCUCUCCGGGCCACCAGCCUGCAGACAGCCCUGGGAAGCUCAAGGGGGACCAGGUUAUGGAAAGGCCCUUUUUAGGUACUGGAAGGCUGUUCUAAGGUCCUAGCUGUUCUAACUGUCCCAGUGUGUCGCCAUAGGAGAAGUGCUCCAGCCCUCUGAUCAUCUUUGUGGGCCUCCUCUGGACUCACUCCAACAAGUCCACGUCCUUAUUUUGGGAGCCCCAGAGCUGGAUGCAGCUCUCCAGGUGGGGUCUCAUGGAAUAGAGUGGAAUAGAGCAGCAGAAUCCCAUCCUUUGACCUGCUGCCCAUGCUGCUCUUGAUGUAGCCCAGGAUGCUGCUGGCUUUUGGGCUGCAAGAGCACAUGGUCAGGUCAUGCUGAGCUUCUCAUCUACCAAUGCCCUCAAGUCCUUCUCCCCAGGGCUGCUCUCAAUACAUUCUCUGCCCAGUCUGAAUGUGUGCUUGGGAUUGCCCUGACACACAUGCAGGACCUGGCGCUUGGCCUUGUUGAACUUCAGGAGGUUCACACAGUCCCACCUCUCCAGCCUGUCGAGGUCCCUGUGAGUGGCAUCUGACAUCAUAAGGUAUGGAAUAUCCCUUUGGUUAAUUUGGGUCGGUGGCCUGGUUUUGUCCCCUCCCAGGACAGCGCUGAUGCUGUGCCAGUGCUGCUCAGCAGUAGCCAAAACACUGGUGUGUUACCAACACUUUCUAGCCAAAUUCCUUUUUCUCCUUUUCAGAAGUGAGCAUUUUGUUUCCCCUUUUUCAGUCACCAGGAACUUUGCCAAACUGCCACUUCUCAAAUAUGACAGAUAGUGACUUUGCUCAAUGGCAGCUCUAAUCCUGGCAGUCAAGACAAGCAGAUACAGUUGUAGAGGAUGCAGACCUUGAGACACUUGUCUGGCUUCAUGGAGGCCUGGCACAUCUUGAGGAGUCCCAGGAGUUUUUUCUCUUAUACAUUUUCCUGCGGCAGGUUCCCUCUCCGUGAGCGGUUGGCAAAGUAAUACAGUGCUGUGGGAUCUGGCUGUUCCUUCUCUUGCACCCCAAGCUGGAUUCCCUCUUCUUAUCUGCCUCUCCCUCAGGGCUUGCUCCCUCCAUUCCCUUUGAUGGGGUGUUGAGAUAUCCUGCAAUGACGCAGCAUGAUGAGAUAAUCUUUCCUCCCUCCUCACCCCUCAGCUUCUUGUUUGUAUUCUUUGAUUAAUUUAUCUUCUCGCCUACAGCUUUAAAUUUGCUUUUAGGGUAGUAACUUUCUGAAGACGCAGCACUAAAAUUUUAUUUUUUUCUUAACCUAGAAAAACAAUCACCUUGUAAUCUCUCUGCUAGAAUCAUAGCAUUAAUUUUGCUGCGAGCAUUGAAUGUGGACCAAACAUUGCCCAGCCAGUGGUGAAGCUGCAGAGGGAGUGGUUCAAUGAGCUCCCUUGGGGAAGUCCAUCACAUUCAUUUUACAGCAGUUUAACCAUAAUAGGGCUACCAAGCCCACAAUCAGGUGGGGAGUUAAUUGUACCUGGAUCCAGCAGCGCACCACAAGCACGUUUAUACAAUGCAGAACAAUUGGUGCUGUGACUCAUUGCUGGGAGCUCAGCCUAUGUUAUACGUGGGGCAGCAUCUAGGGAUACAUAUGUGCCAUCCACAACAGCACUCAGUACACAUCGCAUUAGUCUUCAGCAUCCCACAGAUCCAAAGAGAAAACAAUUGCCAUGUCCCCUAACAGAGCAGAAGAGGUGGAAGACCACAGGUAACACUAGCCAAAAGGCUUUCUCUAAUGAUUUGCAGUACACUCACUGACACAGCUAUUGCUUAAUGAGACAGAUCAUGAGUUUUGCACAGAGGCUGGAAGGACCUGUUUCCUGAGGUCGUGGUUGUUACUAAAUACUCUGAUUACAUGUGGUCGUAAUGUCCUUUGGUGGAUGGUGGAGGCCAGGAGAAAGUCAAGUUUAUUCCUGUGCUAUGACCAGGUUGAAAAAUCAUCAGGUUAUUCUGUGGCCUUAAAAGUUGCCCUUAGCAGUGGCUCUGAAACUUGUUUUAGGAGCUAUUGCUAAAACAAGUGUGUAGGGCACUGAGCUCCAGGUGCCUGGUUCUGUUUCAAGUAGGAUGAAUUUUAGACUUUAGGACAGGACAAUCAGGCACAAAGAGAUGAAUUUGUACUUCAUUCUCAAUUAAACUUUAAUUCCAAAAAGGUGCAAUUAAAGACACACCCUGAUGCUGUGCAAGAUAGUAGAUAUCUCACUGCCCCCCAGUGAGCGUGCAUGUGAAGGCAUUUCAAAAUUACAUGGACCAAAUUCUUCUAGUGUGAACCAUGAGACACAUUCUCAAACAUAGUCAUGACCACGUGGAUCUGAAACAAAUGUUUUCCUAACAGUAAAAGCAGAAGAGGAGCUGGAUGAAAGACUUGAAAGUUAAAUCCUGGCAGCAUGGAAAUCAGAGGCAAAAUUCCCAGUGAACUGAGGUCAGGGUUUCAGUCUGAAGCCAAGUAAUCCAGAUUUUGUACUUCUCAAAGUAAAAGUGAGUCAGCUGGUCAUCGUUGGUAUUCAAAGAGAAAAUAGAAACCAGGUGAAAUCAUUUAAGCUGGCAGUGGCCAAAUGGUUGUGAGUUUGCUCUGGAAGGAAAGAAAUGUAUCUGGAGGUGUUAUGUUUACGGAAUCUCAUUGCUUUCUAAAUCAAAUGCACUUGCUUUGCAGAUGGAAGAAUGGUGCUCUUUUUUUUUCUUUCUUUCUUUUUUUCUUUUUUAACCACGAGGCUGCAAAUUUAAUCUAGAGUCUUUUCUUUUCAUGCACCACAGCCAUUAAGCAAGAUUUGCCUCUGACCUGCCCCAGCAAUCCUGCAGCUUCUGAGGGCACCUCCAGUGGAUUUGUGGUGGUUGUUGCUUCACCUGCACAGAGAUGGCUGAAUUUGGCAGCUUGAUUGAUGAGGCUCAGAAGGAACAUAACCCACUACUCCCCUGGCUGUACUG
Molecule: long non-coding RNA, 3639 nt
Organism: Corvus hawaiiensis (hawaiian crow)
Lineage: Eukaryota; Metazoa; Chordata; Aves; Passeriformes; Corvidae
Exons: 7
Source: RefSeq, a predicted model, not a curated record